AUGAUUAUUUUCCUCUGUGUGACCUUCACAGUUAUCCAGGUCUCAGGUUCCUCUGUCAGAGUAAACCAGAGUCCAGAUCACAUGUUCCACCAUCCAGGAGAAAACGCCAGUAUCAGCUGUUCACAUAAAAUCCAGGACUACACCCGAAUCUACUGGUACAAGCAGUUAAAGGACAAAACGCUGCAGCUUCUGGGAUACGUGAACGUCAACAACGGAUAUCCAGAGCCUGGAGUUAAUGUAGAAUUAAAUGGAGGUGCAACCCAAGACCAGACCUGCGCCUUAACCAUUAAAGCAGUGGGUCUGAACACCAGUGCGGUUUACUUCUGUGCUGCUGGUAGACACAGUGACAGGAACAGCUGUGACUCUGUACAAAAACCUCCCCAUCAUGGUUUGGCUUUGUGUUUGUGUUGA
Non-coding RNA from Sphaeramia orbicularis (orbiculate cardinalfish), 411 nucleotides. The record is from the annotation of a RefSeq genome assembly. Lineage: Eukaryota; Metazoa; Chordata; Actinopteri; Kurtiformes; Apogonidae.